UAAUGCACAUUGAACUUCCCGAUGGAACUAAGAGGUUUUAAUGGACCAGAAUUGAUAAUGGUAUAAGUGGCGCCUGUAAAUGUAAACAGAUCGUACUUGAUGCGGUCUUAUGAUACCAGUCAGUUUUUCACAAUUCCAGAAAUAGCAGGUACUUGUGUGUUUAGGAGGAGCCUAAUGGAGUAUUCUAUGGAUCAAUAUGAGAGGUUAUAGCAGUGUUUAUAUGGUGUAAUAGUAGGAAUUAUAGACCUCAGUUCAGGCCUUGGAUGCUUUGGAUUGGAAUGUGAAUGGA
This is a non-coding RNA of Pelobates cultripes (western spadefoot toad), 289 nucleotides long. The record is from the annotation of a GenBank genome assembly. Lineage: Eukaryota; Metazoa; Chordata; Amphibia; Anura; Pelobatidae.